GCCUUUGCAAUACUCAUCCAUGGGCUGUAAAAGCAGACUCUACCCCCUCUCUACAUAUGCUUCUCUUUCUUCAGCUGCGCUAUAAUGAAUUAUUGUCCUUGUGUUUCUUUGCUUGCUUUUUUCUUCUCACCCUUAGCCCUAGUUAGCUAGGUUUAAUAGACGUGGCCUCUCUCUCUGGUGUUAGUUCUGCUGAUACUCUUUCUCUCAUCUAAUCUGAAAAAGAAGAAAGAGAAUAAGAAAGAAAUAGGAAGGGUUGCCAUCAAGCAACUACCAGCACCC
Molecule: long non-coding RNA, 279 nt
Filed under: Gossypium barbadense (sea-island cotton)
Lineage: Eukaryota; Viridiplantae; Streptophyta; Magnoliopsida; Malvales; Malvaceae
Description: long non-coding RNA (GBAR_LNC011842)
Source: RNAcentral